This is a long non-coding RNA of Trachemys scripta elegans, 794 nucleotides long. RefSeq lists it as uncharacterized. The transcript has 3 exons. NCBI's taxonomy places the organism in Eukaryota, Metazoa, Chordata, Testudines, Emydidae. The record is from RefSeq and is a predicted model, not a curated record.
UGGAGCGAUGUUCUUUUGGGCUCCAGUGUCAGAUUUUGAUUUAAUAGCACAAGCGCCAUGACCCAGUGAGAUACCAGUGGCCAGUUGGCUUGCGCAAGGAAGAUCUGUUGGUGCCGAUCGCUCAUGCCAGAAGCACUGUUUUCUGUCACUAUGCAUAGCUUUGUUUGGCUCAGAUCUGCAUGCCGCUGCAAAGGGAGUUCAUUUCUUCCUGGUGCACAGGGAUGAUCUUUUAAAGGACACGUUUCUGCUCCGGGGUCCUUAAAGUGAUCCCCCCCUGCAAACCAUCCAGAGGAGGACAUGGAGCAGGACAGACCAACACAGAACCUGCGGGGGCAGCCAGGCAACCUCAGGCAGAGGGGAACACCCACAGAGCCCAUGUGGGGUGAGCAGCCCUGCAGCCUGCAAGCUUCUGCAAGGGGAUCCAUGUGUCCACCCAGCCUGCAAAGACUACAGGGACUACUGGCAAUGUGCCAUCAUGGCAUUCAGGUCCUUCUCCACUGCCUCCUGAGCAGCAGUCUCCGAUACCAGAAAGAUGAUCUUCCCAUACAUCUUGGAGGUCAGCGCUGCCAUGGGCCCCACCACCUGUGCCGAUGCCCCCACGUAGGUCUCCACAUGGGGUGAGGUGGGCACCACGAGGUAACAGAUGCUGUGCUUCCUGGUCAGGGUGGGGAAGGGAUCCUGGCUGCCAGAGAUGGAGGUGGUGGUCGGGGCAGAAGACAUGGUGGCACAUGGAGGGACUGCAGACACCUGUGUGUAUGCCCUGGGAGCCAAGUGUGAAAUGCCCCCAGAGCUGG